UCUAUCAUGCAGUCGAGCGGACCUCUUCGGAGGUCAGCGGCGGACGGGUGAGUAACACGUGGGCAACCUGCCUGUAAGACUGGGAUAACUCCGGGAAACCGGAGCUAAUACCGGAUACUAUGUCAAACCGCAUGGUUUGACAUUCAAAGACGGUUUCGGCUGUCACUUACAGAUGGGCCCGCGGCGCAUUAGCUAGUUGGUGAGGUAACGGCUCACCAAGGCGACGAUGCGUAGCCGACCUGAGAGGGUGAUCGGCCACACUGGGACUGAGACACGGCCCAGACUCCUACGGGAGGCAGCAGUAGGGAAUCUUCCGCAAUGGACGAAAGUCUGACGGAGCAACGCCGCGUGAGUGAUGAAGGUUUUCGGAUCGUAAAACUCUGUUGUCAGGGAAGAACAAGUGCCGGAGUAACUGCCGGCGCCUUGACGGUACCUGACCAGAAAGCCACGGCUAACUACGUGCCAGCAGCCGCGGUAAUACGUAGGUGGCAAGCGUUGUCCGGAAUUAUUGGGCGUAAAGCGCGCGCAGGCGGUUUCUUAAGUCUGAUGUGAAAGCCCCCGGCUCAACCGGGGAGGGUCAUUGGAAACUGGGAAACUUGAGUGCAGAAGAGGAGAGUGGAAUUCCACGUGUAGCGGUGAAAUGCGUAGAGAUGUGGAGGAACACCAGUGGCGAAGGCGACUCUCUGGUCUGUAACUGACGCUGAGGCGCGAAAGCGUGGGGAGCGAACAGGAUUAGAUACCCUGGUAGUCCACGCCGUAAACGAUGAGUGCUAAGUGUUAGAGGGUUUCCGCCCUUUAGUGCUGCAGCUAACGCAUUAAGCACUCCGCCUGGGGAGUACGGUCGCAAGACUGAAACUCAAGGAAUUGACGGGGGCCCGCACAAGCGGUGGAGCAUGUGGUUUAAUUCGAAGCAACGCGAAGAACCUUACCAGUCUUGACAUCCUUUGCCACUUCUAGAGAUAGAAGUUCCCCUUUCGGGGACAAAGUGACAGGUGUGCAUGCUUGUCGUCAGCUCGUGUCGUGAGAUGUUGGGUUAGUCCCGCAACGAGCGCACCCUUGAUCUUAGUUG
Molecule: ribosomal RNA, 1069 nt
Filed under: Bacillus sp. (in: firmicutes)
Lineage: Bacteria; Bacillati; Bacillota; Bacilli; Caryophanales; Bacillaceae
Description: bacterial SSU rRNA
Rfam family: Bacterial small subunit ribosomal RNA
Source: RNAcentral